RNA transcript from Musa acuminata AAA Group (dessert banana), 2442 nucleotides. It is a transcript of the gene named zinc finger AN1 domain-containing stress-associated protein 15, with no coding region annotated. The record is from RefSeq and is a predicted model, not a curated record. The transcript has 2 exons. NCBI's taxonomy places the organism in Eukaryota, Viridiplantae, Streptophyta, Magnoliopsida, Zingiberales, Musaceae.
GAUCCAACGGCCGAGUGUCCUCUACGAUCUCAAAUUGUUUGCCAUUGAUCAUUUAGAUGGCUGAUUUGUUUAUUCUAAUGACUUGGUUAUAAUUGGCGUAAUUAUUUAUUAUUCUCUCUUUUUUUCCUCACCCCCAAAGCUGCCACCUUUACCAUUCCUCCUCCCCCGCCCCCGUUCCUACCAAAUCCCUCGCCGUUCCUCUCCCCGAUCGAUCUUGAUCGGUUUCUUCGAUUUUUAUGGAUCUCCACCGUCGCUUCCGUGGAAGCGCGUGAAAAAAAUUUGAGCUUGAUUUCAAGUUCCUCCUGCCGUUCAUCGUUCUUGUUUUCUCUUUAUUCAACCGAAGACUGAAUUCCCUCUUUUCUUGCUUCUUAAUCCAUCUCGUAACCUAUUUCUAUUAGGCUUUCCCUUGAGUUCUGCAAAAUUCCAGCUUUGGGUGAUUUGGGAAAUUUUCUGGUGUUGAUUCGUAGUCCUGCAAUCGUCGUUCGGCUUAGAUUAAUUGUUGCCUCUCUGCUCGUUGAUUCUUGUUGUCGGAUCGGAUUCCUUUUUGGAAUGGCUCGAGAAAGUUGUAAUCUUGACCAGGAUGAAGCAGAGAUCUUCAAGCCCUCAUCAUCUUCUACCCGUUCUGCUACGCCACCCUCCUCGCCAUCAUCAUCACCCCAGCCGCCACCUUCCUCCGCGCUUCCGAAAUCAUGCGAUGAAUCCACCAUUCACAGGCCGGAAUCUCCGGCCCCAGCGAUGACUGUCGCGGCUUCUUCCACGACAAAGCUCGACGAGGAGUCGUCAAAGCCCAGGGAGGAAUCCCCGACUCCUGUUAGAUUCAGUAACAGGUGCUCCACUUGCCGGAAAAAGGUGGGUCUCACCGGAUUCCGAUGCCGCUGCGGCGACCUCUUCUGCGGUCGCCACCGUUACUCCGAUGCCCACGAGUGUUCCUUCGAUUACAAGGCCUUAGGGAGAGAGGAGAUCGCCAGGGCCAACCCUGUGAUCAAAGCUGCCAAGAUCAUCAAGAUCUGAGGUAUAAAGUUAGCACCUUUUUUUUCUCGCUUGCUCAGAGCCGUAGGUAAAUUGGUUCUUGUUUGUUUGAGUGAUCUACACUGUUAAUUGAACAAUUAAAUAUGCAUCAUAUUGUCUGAAGUUGGCUGUCCAAUUAUUCUUAUGAUAGAACCUUUGAUUUUAAUCUCUAUGGUGUUUCAUUAUCAGCAACAUCAACAUAAACAGGUGAAGCAUAGAUUUUGUCUGUGUCAGUUCUUCUACUGGUUGGAAUCAGAAGUUUUCUCCAGAUGUUCAAUGGUAUGGAAUCUGAAUUAGGUGUUGAUUCAUUUCUUUUGUCACUGAGGUAAACUUGCAGUGUUAAGCUUUUCGUUAUCGACGUACAGAGAAAAAGAGUAGCCUUAGUUGGUAAAGAUGAACAUUCAUCUUGCAAUAAAUUCCUUCUCUAUAAUAUGCGGCUUCGGAUUAUCUGUAUGUUAUGAAAUAAUGCAGCAUGUCUGAAGCCAAUUCUCUAUAAUGUAGAUCAUCUCGAGUACUAACUAAAAGAAUUCAGUUAAAGUCAUGAUCUAAAAACGAUUAAUAUUGUAGUGGAUAUUAAGGAAAGCACAUGGAACACGAGUCUUUUGUUUCUUUUGGUGUUCGUGGCUAUCGCCGCUUUCGUUUGGUUGUCGUCAUUAGACCUAACUUUGCAUGAUUAGCUUUCAGAAAGAACCAAUCGGAUAGGUGGUUCGUCUUCCAUGUGCCAUUCUUAUAUUGUCGAUACUUAUCAAGUAAGUGGUUGACAAAUUUUUCUCUUGUCAUCUUUCUCUUUUAGUAAAACAAUAUAACACUCUGUCGACAUUUCACGCAUGAAAACUCUCCUUCAGAAUAGUUCACCAAAUUGGGUUCUACAUGUGCUGUAGUUUCUACAUGAGUUAUACGAAGUAUAGGAAGCUUUCUUUGAUACAUUGCUUACGAAGGGUCGAUGAACGUCAUCUUAUUCUUGCAAGUAGGCAGGUCUUGUAUCUGAUACUCAACCCUGGUCAUCGAGUCGUAAACAAGCAACUUUACCAUGACACCAAAGCUUGUCCUUUAAGAUCAAACAUCUCCGCAGCUUCGGAAUAGCAAAUCUCUGGAUGAUCAUAUGGCCAUGUUCAAUUUCUUCUGUAGAUGCUUUGUCAUUGUCAAGCUAAUAGGGUUAGGUAGCCAUUACAGCUUGUGGAAAGCCGACCUGGAAAUGACAUGCAAGUGGGCUCAAGCUUUCCGAUGCCACAAACACUAGCUUUCUGAAAGCAUGCUUCUGCAAGGGUGCCUCAAGACAUUGUUGCACUUGCAGCGUUUUGCCCCCAUGUCAACAACACAGUCCAAUUUGGAGGCUUCUCAUUUAAGCAGAUUGUUCAGUGCCACAGGGACCAGAUGGGCUUGAGUUUAAAUGUCUAUGGAUGGACUAAGUAAAUGAAUUUGGUACAACUUUCA